AAGAGCUGUACAAUUAGAGGCAAGCUAGAUAGAAGAGCACACAAGAUAGAGUGAAAUUGGAAAGCAGCAUAUUUGCAUCAGAUAAGAACCAAGAGGGUGCUGGGACAUAGGUUCUCUCCGUCUUCAGGCAGAGAAAAUGCAUCCAAAAUCUACUUUUCAGGAGUGUAGCUGGAGAGUUUUUGUGCUGUGAACCAAACUUCCAGGAGCAAAAUAUCGAUACUGAAGAAUUUAAAUGGCAGAACCCAUCUCCCCACCCUGCAGUUUGCCUCAUGUGGAUGAAGAUGAGGAGAGCACUUGUUGCAGGCUCUUCCCUUUGGAAGCUCUUCAGUGUUAUAAAUCACAGUGUUUGCUUCUGUAUGCCUGGCAGAACUGGCCUCAUGUUGACCUUGUCCUUCUGGUGCUCUCCUUAGGAAUUUCACUUCCUAAAAUUUUAAGGCUUUGUGUGUGUUUGUUGGUGUAG
Molecule: long non-coding RNA, 460 nt
Filed under: Cyanistes caeruleus (blue tit)
Lineage: Eukaryota; Metazoa; Chordata; Aves; Passeriformes; Paridae
Description: lncRNA (ENSCCEG00000007929.1)
Source: RNAcentral